This 316-nucleotide long non-coding RNA is filed under the name Mytilus galloprovincialis (Mediterranean mussel). The record is from RNAcentral. Lineage: Eukaryota; Metazoa; Mollusca; Bivalvia; Mytilida; Mytilidae.
UGUUGUACUACUUUUGGGACAAAUUAUAUCAAAAUUAUAGAAAACUUCAUCGUCUCAAACUCAAAAUAUGGACAAUUUUAUCUUUAGGGCGUCUUGAAAUCUUUUGACAGCUUCCGAAGUGCUAUUUUUCAACCUUUUUUACCUGGACCAAAUCACUACUUUCCUUUAAAAUUCUGGACACAAACUUUUUUACAGUGUAAUUUCACCCCCCCCCCCUACUUGCAAUUUGAGGCAUAAAACAUGGAGAAAUAAAUUUGGAAGGGGUAUAAAAAUUAAUGGCAAGUAACCCACUGUCAACACUAGGGACUAUAUUUGU